AGUAAAUAGAUACCCGGGUAGUCCUAGCCGUAAACGAUACUCGCUAGGUGUCGGCCACGGUGCGACCGUUGUCGGUGCCGUAGGGAAAGCCGUGAAGCGAGCCACCUGGGAAGUACGGCCGCAAGGCUGAAACUUAAAGGAAUUGGCGGGGGAGCACCACAACGGGUGGAGCUUGCGGUUUAAUUGGAUUCAACGCCGGAAAUCUUACCGGGACCGACAGCAACAUGAAGGCCAGGCUGAAGACUUUGCCGGAUUAGCUGAGAGGUGGUGCAUGGCCGUCGUCAGUUCGUACUGUGAAAGCAUCCUGUUAAGUCAGGCAACGAGCGAGACCCACGCCCACAGUUGCCAGCGUACUCUCUGGAGUGACGGGUACACUGUGGGGACCGCCGCUGCUAAAGCGGAGGAAGGAAUGGGCAACGGUAGGUCAGUAUGCCCCGAAUAUCCCGGGCUACACGCGAGCUACAAUGGUUGGUACAAUGGGUAUCUACCCCGAAAGGGGAUGGAAAUCUCCUAAAGCCAAUCUUAGUUCGGAUUGAGGGCUGCAACUCGCCCUC
RNAcentral lists this ribosomal RNA (554 nucleotides) under uncultured bacterium. RNAcentral's name for it is "bacterial SSU rRNA". It matches the Rfam family "Archaeal small subunit ribosomal RNA", at positions 726 to 1275 of the family's 1478-position model. The record is from RNAcentral.